Molecule: RNA transcript, 1123 nt
Organism: Juglans regia (Persian walnut)
Lineage: Eukaryota; Viridiplantae; Streptophyta; Magnoliopsida; Fagales; Juglandaceae
Gene name: DNA polymerase delta small subunit
Exons: 5
Source: RefSeq, a predicted model, not a curated record
GUGGUGCUUCUCUUUUCCCGCCAUGGAAGUCGACUCAGAGAAGAAUCUUCAGAGAGAACAAUCUACCUCCUAUACCUCCCUGGAUAAGAACUUUGAGAUUCAGAAGGAGACGUACAGGGGCCAGCAGUAGAGCCAGAUUUACUUUGCUCGUCUCCAUUUGAUGCGAACCCUCCUCCAUAGAAAGGAGAUAUGCCAGCUGGCGCUAUUCAGAGAAGAUCGUAUCACAGGAGCGGAGGAUGCUUAAUCUUGGUGUUUGAUUGUCGGUCAUGACCGAGGUGUUGACUCGAGCCAGAUUCCGUUAUCUCUGUAGACUGUUGCUUGAUUUACGUUAUUACUCCAUCCCCUCGUUCCCCAUUGGAAACCCCAUUUACCAGUUUGCACAGUUUGCAAUUGGAUUGGAAGAAGGCAAGGAAUGCAUCCUAGCUGGAACCCUGAACAAGCACAUGAAACUCAAACCUUGUGUCCUGGAUGAGUACUCCGAGGAGGGGGUGGGGGAUUCGAACCUGAUUGUCCUUUGGAUACCAGAUCAGAUCUUAUGCCAUUGGUCCAAAGGACCUUGGCUUGUUGAGCUGUUCUUUCAAAUCAUAAUAUAAGUCUAAUUGGUCUUUGUAGUACAAUUGAUUGGAUAGUUUUCAUCAAAGUAUGUGAAAUUUAUGUGCGGAAUUAGCAGGGAACGAUCAACUCUCUUAUUCUUAUUCUUCUCAGCUUUGCCUAAAAUUUGAGUUGUGGUUGGUCUGUCUUGUAUUUUUUUUCCCAGAAGUACAACUUGGUAUAAACCAUUAUCUGUAUAAAGCAUGUUUAUUGGCAUUGACAUGGUGCGCAUGAUAGGCAUUGUUGUUGCUUUGCAUGGAAAGGAAACUGACGCUGGCGACAUUUUGUUUCAAGAUGUCCUAGAGGCUGGCCUACCACCUCAGAUAGAGCUUCCCCUUAAAUCAAGUAUGAUCUGGUUUACCUUCAUUUUUACUUCUGGAUGCCAGAAAAACGGUCGACCAUGAAAAUAUGUCAAAGGGGGCUCGACCGUGGAAAUGUAAUAGUUGUAAGUUUAUCAUUUUUCUCAAACUUAUAGGAGCCUUGAAGUUCAUUGACAAGUUAUUUAAUGAUAGUGAUAUGAAUUCAAUGUUUU